ACAGACAUCCACUCACGAACUUGCCGAACAAGACACAAGCCCGCACGUAGCCCGUGAUUCGGUUAUACGUCAUUUUGUCCUCAAUUUUCGCGUACAUAAAAUCCUACGUCCGGUCCAAUCAGGAACUCGGCGAAAAACGGCUCUAUGGGCCGAAAUUCACGAGCCAUCGCGAACGCGCACACAAGUAGGCAGAUUUUCGUGUUGAUUUCCAUGACUGAGACUCAAAAAUCCACCUAGAAAAGAUAAUGGUUUAGAAAAUGAAUGAAUGAAGAACAAUGGCAUAAUUUGCUCGACGCACUUUGUAACGUCGUCUCGGUCGGUGCGGAAAAUUUUGUUCCUAAGAUAUCAAGGAACAUGAUUGAGCUGAGGUUAUUCCAAGUUUUUGACCUUACUAAAUACGCACAUUUGUGAGUCUGUACGGCAUGAUUUUGUAACUCGUAAGUAAUUUGAAAGAAUGAAGUGAAAUAGUCUAGUUUACGGCAUGGGUAAUUUUCUUAUGAAAAUUCCAAAAAUUACUUUAAAAAUCUUCUAAAAUGUAUUUAAAACAAAAAAAAGGUCACGUUUAAUCUUUCCAUGUCAUCUAAUAGCUCCCAACGGUUUAGCAAUGUUUUAAAAAAAAUAAAAACCUACUUUAACAAAUUUUAA
Non-coding RNA from Bemisia tabaci, 645 nucleotides. NCBI's taxonomy places the organism in Eukaryota, Metazoa, Arthropoda, Insecta, Hemiptera, Aleyrodidae. The record is from RefSeq and is a predicted model, not a curated record.